UGCUAGAAGUUCAGGUGAGAACAGGGCAG
RNAcentral lists this non-coding RNA (29 nucleotides) under Homo sapiens (human). The record is from RNAcentral. Lineage: Eukaryota; Metazoa; Chordata; Mammalia; Primates; Hominidae.